GAUCCUGGCUCAGGAUGAACGCUAGCUACAGGCUUAACACACGCAAGUCGAGGGGCGGCAUGGUCUUAGCUUGCUAAGGCCGAUGGCGACCGGCGCACGGGUGAGUAACACGUAUCCAACCUGCCGUCUACUCUUGGACAGCCUUCUGAAAGGAAGAUUAAUACAAGAUGGCAUCAUGAGUUCACAUGUUCACAUGAUUAAAGGUAUUCCGGUAGACGAUGGGGAUGCGUU
This 231-nucleotide ribosomal RNA is filed under the name uncultured bacterium. RNAcentral's name for it is "partial 16S ribosomal RNA". It matches the Rfam family "Bacterial small subunit ribosomal RNA", at positions 15 to 237 of the family's 1533-position model. The record is from RNAcentral.